RNAcentral lists this ribosomal RNA (699 nucleotides) under uncultured Acetobacter sp. Its description in RNAcentral is "bacterial SSU rRNA". It matches the Rfam family "Bacterial small subunit ribosomal RNA", at positions 1 to 745 of the family's 1533-position model. The record is from RNAcentral. Lineage: Bacteria; Pseudomonadati; Pseudomonadota; Alphaproteobacteria; Acetobacterales; Acetobacteraceae.
UCGGCUUAGAGUUUGAUCAUGGCUCAGAGCGAACGCUGGCGGCAUGCUUAACACAUGCAAGUCGCACGAAGGUUUCGGCCUUAGUGGCGGACGGGUGAGUAACGCGUAGGAAUCUAUCCAUGGGUGGGGGAUAGCUCUGGGAAACUGGAGCUAAUACCGCAUGAUACCUGAGGGUCAAAGGCGCAAGUCGCCUGUGGAGGAGCCUGCGUUCGAUUAGCUUGUUGGUGGGGUAAUGGCCUACCAAGGCGAUGAUCGAUAGCUGGUCUGAGAGGAUGAUCAGCCACACUGGGACUGAGACACGGCCCAGACUCCUACGGGAGGCAGCAGUGGGGAAUAUUGGACAAUGGGGGCAACCCUGAUCCAGCAAUGCCGCGUGUGUGAAGAAGGUUUUCGGAUUGUAAAGCACUUUCGGCGGGGACGAUGAUGACGGUACCCGCAGAAGAAGCCCCGGCUAACUUCGUGCCAGCAGCCGCGGUAAUACGAAGGGGGCUAGCGUUGCUCGGAAUGACUGGGCGUAAAGGGCGUGUAGGCGGUUUGUACAGUCAGAUGUGAAAUCCCCGGGCUUAACCUGGGAGCUGCAUUUGAUACGUGCAGACUAGAGUGUGAGAGAGGGUUGUGGAAUUCCCAGUGUAGAGGUGAAAUUCGUAGAUAUUGGGAAGAACACCGGUGGCGAAGGCGCAACCUGGCUCAUGACUGACC